This 281-nucleotide long non-coding RNA is filed under the name Panax ginseng (ginseng). RNAcentral describes it as "long non-coding RNA (PGIN_LNC008615)". Lineage: Eukaryota; Viridiplantae; Streptophyta; Magnoliopsida; Apiales; Araliaceae. The record is from RNAcentral.
UACACUGAUAUUUACCAAUUUUUAUCACAUCACCCAUGAAGGGGCAUCAGAAUGCUAAGGAGUCUGUCAAUCAGUGCAAAAUGAGGUCGACGGAUGUCUCUUAUGCCUUUAGGAUGGUCAAAUCACUCGUGGUUCAGCCAAGAAAUUGGCAUUAGGUCCAACAUCUAAAAUUUCCAAAUCUCCCAAAUUAUGACCAAAUGACUAAGACUCAAAAAAGGAUGGCACAGAAGAAGUAUGGUGUCGUGGUGAGAAGAAUGUUUGGCACCCAAGGACUUGACGAG